AACUUUCAGCAACGGAUCUCUUGGCUCUCGCAACGAUGAAGAACGCAUCGAAAUGCGAUACGUAUCAUGAAUUGCAGAACUCUGAAUGAUAAAUGUUUGAACGCACAUUGCGCCAGCCUUUGGUUGGCAUGUCUGUCUGAGAAUCUUCAAGUUUCUCUCUGAAGCAAUUUGCUUUUUGAGGCCCUUGACAGCCCUACAAUGCUAGGCUGUUGAAAUUAACGUACCGUCUCGCAGCCUGAGGGGGUUGGGUGAUUUUGACCAAUUUCAAUUUUACCGUAUCUCCCUUCAUCAGGCUUAAGCAUACUUGGUCUCAGAUCAGACAGGAGAACCCGCUGAACUUAAGCAUAUCAAUAAGCGGAGGCU
RNAcentral lists this unclassified non-coding RNA (363 nucleotides) under uncultured Chytridiales. Its description in RNAcentral is "sequence contains ITS2". The stretch from base 1 to 146 matches the Rfam family "5.8S ribosomal RNA". The record is from RNAcentral. Lineage: Eukaryota; Fungi; Chytridiomycota; Chytridiomycetes; Chytridiales.